Bos taurus (domestic cattle) is the source of this 761-nucleotide long non-coding RNA. The record is from Ensembl. Lineage: Eukaryota; Metazoa; Chordata; Mammalia; Artiodactyla; Bovidae.
CAGUAGUCACUGAAUGGGGACUUUUCUACAGCAAAAUAGCUGGCUAGUGUCCGUUCGUUUGUUUUUGCGGAUUAUAUUUUGCAGGUUAGUGGCUACACUCAAAGUUAAGAAACUGAUCCUGCCGUUUCUCUGUUCACCUUCUUGGAAAGGAAAAGGAAAGUUAGUCACACAGUUGUGUCUGACUGUUUGCAAUCCCAUGGACUGUAGCCUGGCAGGUCCUCUGUCCACGGAAUUCUCCAGCUUCAAGGAUUCGGAUAUUCUGGGGAAACCAAGUGUGAUCUGAAGGUUGAAGCUCAACUGUUCAUUAUUUCUCCAAGUUCUGGGAUAAUGUUAUUAGUUUUUAAGCAUGAGGUGCUUCCCAGGAGAGCUGCUGAGUCCCAACCCGACCAAACCCUUUCACGUCGUGGCCUGUACGAUGCACCAUCAUUGUGGAAUGUCUCUGAGAUGACUUCUGCAGAUAUAAAGACGAAUAUUAUCAAGUGCCAACGAGCAGUUCAGAUUAGCAAGACUGAAGAAGGAGCUACACAAAGAACAGGAAAAGGCUUCGAGGGGCUGCCCUGCGUUGACUGAGGAGGCUCUGAGGGUAAGAAUGUCACGUGUGAAGCUCCCUGGCAGUUUCUUUUUGAAAAAGUUCGGAGUUCCAUUGGAAUUAGGAGAAGACGAUGGUAGCAGUAGCAAAGAGACUCCUACCAGGGGAAUUAGAGCAGUGAAAUGUAACAGGGAUGGAUUUUAGAUCCAGAUAGACAUGGGUUGAAAUCCCA